GAUGUCAACUAGCCGUUGGAAUCCUUGAGAUUUUAGUGGCGCAGCUAACGCAUUAAGUUGACCGCCUGGGGAGUACGGCCGCAAGGUUAAACUCAAAUGAAGUUGACGGGGGCCCGCACAAGCGGUGGAGCAUGUGGUUUAAUUCGAAGCAACGCGAAGAACCUUACCAGGCCUUGACAUGCAGAGAACUUUCCAGAGAUGGUUGGUGCCUUCGGGAACUCUGACACAGGUGCUGCAUGGCUGUCGUCAG
RNAcentral lists this ribosomal RNA (250 nucleotides) under uncultured bacterium. RNAcentral describes it as "partial 16S ribosomal RNA". It matches the Rfam family "Bacterial small subunit ribosomal RNA", at positions 808 to 1058 of the family's 1533-position model. The record is from RNAcentral.